UACAGAGGGUGCUAGCGUUAAUCGGAAUUACUGGGCGUAAAGGGUGUGUAGGUGGUUGGAUAAGUUAGAUGUGAAAUCCCUGGGCUUAACCUGGGAACUGCGUUUAAAACUGUUCAGCUAGAGUACUGUAGAGGAUAGUGGAAUUUCCAGUGUAGCGGUGAAAUGCGUAGAUAUUGGAAGGAACACCAGUGGCGAAGGCGACUAUCUGGACAGAUACUGACACUGAAACACGAAAGCGUGGGGAGCAAACAGG
RNAcentral lists this ribosomal RNA (253 nucleotides) under uncultured bacterium. RNAcentral's name for it is "partial 16S ribosomal RNA". It matches the Rfam family "Bacterial small subunit ribosomal RNA", at positions 524 to 776 of the family's 1533-position model. The record is from RNAcentral.